RNAcentral lists this transfer RNA (73 nucleotides) under Clostridium sp. RNAcentral's name for it is "tRNA-Ala". It matches the Rfam family "tRNA". From Rfam's summary of the family: Transfer RNA (tRNA) molecules are approximately 80 nucleotides in length. Their secondary structure includes four short double-helical elements and three loops (D, anti-codon, and T loops). Further hydrogen bonds mediate the characteristic L-shaped molecular structure. tRNAs have two regions of fundamental functional importance: the anti-codon, which is responsible for specific mRNA codon recognition, and the 3' end, to which the tRNAs corresponding amino acid is attached (by aminoacyl-tRNA synthetases). tRNAs cope with the degeneracy of the genetic code in two manners: having more than one tRNA (with a specific anti-codon) for a particular amino acid; and 'wobble' base-pairing, i.e. permitting non-standard base-pairing at the 3rd anti-codon position. RNAcentral also lists the same sequence under 2 other names. The record is from RNAcentral. Lineage: Bacteria; Bacillati; Bacillota; Clostridia; Eubacteriales; Clostridiaceae.
GGGGCGUUGGCGCAGUUGGGAGCGCGCUUGAAUGGCAUUCAAGAGGCCGUGGGUUCAAGUCCCAUACGCUCCA